AGUGAACGCUGGCGGUAGGCCUAACACAUGCAAGUUGAACGGCAGCACAGUAAGAGCUUGCCCUUACGGGUGGCGAGUGGCGGACGGGUGAGGAAUACAUCGGAAUCUACUUUUUCGUGGGGGAUAACGUAGGGAAACUUACGCUAAUACCGCAUACGACCUACGGGUGAAAGCAGGGGAUCUUCGGACCUUGCGCGAUUGAAUGAGCCGAUGUCGGAUUAGCUAGUUGGCGGGGUAAAGGCCCACCAAGGCGACGAUCCGUAGCUGGUCUGAGAGGAUGAUCAGCCACACUGGAACUGAGACACGGUCCAGACUCCUACGGGAGGCAGCAGUGGGGAAUAUUGGACAAUGGGCGCAAGCCUGAUCCAGCCAUACCGCGUGGGUGAAGAAGGCCUUCGGGUUGUAAAGCCCUUUUGUUGGGAAAGAAAAGCAGCAGGUUAAUACCCCGCUGUUCUGACGGUACCCAAAGAAUAAGCACCGGCUAACUUCGUG
RNAcentral lists this ribosomal RNA (492 nucleotides) under uncultured bacterium. RNAcentral describes it as "partial 16S ribosomal RNA". It matches the Rfam family "Bacterial small subunit ribosomal RNA", at positions 29 to 507 of the family's 1533-position model. The record is from RNAcentral.